Molecule: unclassified non-coding RNA, 297 nt
Organism: Cricetulus griseus (Chinese hamster)
Lineage: Eukaryota; Metazoa; Chordata; Mammalia; Rodentia; Cricetidae
Gene: 7SK
Rfam family: 7SK RNA
About the family: 7SK was discovered as an abundant small nuclear RNA in the mid-70s but a possible function has only recently been suggested. Two independent studies have found that 7SK RNA binds the CDK9/cyclin T complex (known as elongation factor P-TEFb).
Source: Ensembl
GGAUGGUGUUGGGCGGUCUAUCGGAGACACCUGUCACUCCAUUAAUAACCAGUAUUGAAACAACUGAUAUGGCAGGUUGGUUGGGAAUCCCCUUCCUCCAUAAACACUCCUUGUUCAUCCCUUUAAAAGUGUUAUUCUUAGUCAAAGAGGACAACAUUCUCACAACAGAAGAGGACUAGUCUUUGGUCAAGGGUGUACAUGUAGCUGCUCAUCCCUGCUAGAAUUUCCAAACAAGCUCUCAUGAGUACCUUUUGCUGUGUGCCUUCAUGCAGCCCUCUCACCAUCAAGGUGCUCCUU